Molecule: small RNA, 620 nt
Filed under: human gut metagenome
Source: RNAcentral
CUGACGGUGCAGUAUUCUAGUCGUAGUGACCAUUUUCCAGGAAGGGCCUAAAAAUCCUUUGAAGGGCACAUCGAUGAAGUCCCUGGUGUCUGCUUGUUACGCCCAGUUUUGGGUGGAUGCUGGGGGUUAAGGAUCCAGGGCGCGUCCCAAUGGCAUGGGGCAUACGACCCGGUUUCCGUGGAGACUUGAAUCUUGUGCGACGACGGGCAGAACCCAUGUGGGCCCCGCCGCGUACGAAUCAGGUAUGAACCUGCAAGGCGGUGCACAGAAUCGUGUGCUGUGUGCAGCGUAGCCUGCCUUGAAGUGAACAUGCGGGGAAGGGAGAACAGACCGCCGCUGCCGUGGCCACGGCAAGUGCGGUUAUUGCUCCCGGAAACCAUGUUUGCAAAAGAGGCUAAGAUUAUGGAACACUCCGCCGUGGAAAACACCUAGGCUGUCCGAAAGGGGCAGGCAGGGGAUUGCAGUACGGACUAAGUGGCAAUCGGGUACUCAUUUUUUUGGCAACACUUGAGCCUGGGGAUCAAACGGAAACGACCUGUGCGGCAACGGCAGGUUCCCCUCGGUGAAAAACAACCCGACCUAAGCCGUAAGAUUUAUCCUGCCUGCCGCCGUCGUUUCUU